UACGAAGGGGGCUAGCGUUGCUCGGAAUUACUGGGCGUAAAGCGCACGUAGGCGGCUUUGUAAGUUAGAGGUGAAAGCCCGGGGCUCAACCCCGGAAUAGCCUUUAAGACUGCAUCGCUUGAACACGGGAGAGGUGAGUGGAAUUCCGAGUGUAGAGGUGAAAUUCGUAGAUAUUCGGAAGAACACCAGUGGCGAAGGCGGCUCACUGGACCGUUGUUGACGCUGAGGUGCGAAAGCGUGGGGAGCAAACAGG
This 253-nucleotide ribosomal RNA is filed under the name uncultured bacterium. RNAcentral's name for it is "partial 16S ribosomal RNA". It matches the Rfam family "Bacterial small subunit ribosomal RNA", at positions 524 to 776 of the family's 1533-position model. The record is from RNAcentral.